RNAcentral lists this ribosomal RNA (393 nucleotides) under uncultured bacterium. RNAcentral's name for it is "partial 16S ribosomal RNA". It matches the Rfam family "Bacterial small subunit ribosomal RNA", at positions 523 to 918 of the family's 1533-position model. The record is from RNAcentral.
AUACGGAGGAUCCGAGCGUUAUCCGGAUUUAUUGGGUUUAAAGGGAGCGUAGAUGGAUGUUUAAGUCAGUUGUGAAAGUUUGCGGCUCAACCGUAAAAUUGCAGUUGAUACUGGAUAUCUUGAGUGCAGUUGAGGCAGGCGGAAUUUGUGGUGUAGCGGUGAAAUGCUUAGAUAUCACGAAGAACUCCGAUUGCGAAGGCAGCCUGCUAAGCUGCAACUGACAUUGAGGCUCGAAAGUGUGGGUAUCAAACAGGAUUAGAUACCCUGGUAGUCCACACGGUAAACGAUGAAUACUCGCUGUUUGCGAUAUACAGCAAGCGGCCAAGCGAAAGCGUUAAGUAUUCCACCUGGGGAGUACGCCGGCAACGGUGAAACUCAAAUGAAUUGACGGGG